UUGUAUCUGAUUUGUGCCUAC
Caenorhabditis elegans is the source of this 21-nucleotide non-coding RNA. Lineage: Eukaryota; Metazoa; Nematoda; Chromadorea; Rhabditida; Rhabditidae. The record is from Ensembl.